This 862-nucleotide unclassified non-coding RNA is filed under the name Hevea brasiliensis (rubber tree). Lineage: Eukaryota; Viridiplantae; Streptophyta; Magnoliopsida; Malpighiales; Euphorbiaceae. The record is from RNAcentral.
UGAUGCUUAGGUAAAUCAAACUUUCUUCACCAUACAACCACAUUCAGAUGUUGGCAUAAAAAAAUAAUAAUAAAAUAAAAAUCAGCUGCUGAAUCAUUAAAGGGAAAAAAAGAGAGAGAGAAAGCAACACAAAGGAAGAGGCUUCAAACCUGGUGUACUACUGCUGAGCUAAAGCACAAAUCUCGUAGCACUAUGGAUAUCAUUUCUUUUAUUUCUGCUCAUGACAAGUAACAAAAGAAAAUACAAAAUUCACCAACUUAUAUGCCAGACUAAAUGUUUCCCUCAAAUAUCUGAAGAUAGGGUGUUAUAACCAGAACCAAGGAGGCAUAAGAAUAAGAGCCUUAAACAUUGUAUACAGCAACAAGAUAACCAAACAAAUCGAUGAACAGUUUACCAAACAAACAUAGGAGCAUUAAUGACAUUGCAAUAUGUGAGGAAGGAAAAGAAAAACACAAGAUAGAUAUUCCAAAUUUUUAUAUUCUUGCUUGGUCCUAUGCAUAAAUAAAACCCUUGAAGAAUGCAUGGUGCAUCAGCCACAAUACAAUGUUAAUUUAUAUGCAACCAGCACAAAUACAAAGUUACAAAAUUAGACAAUAAUUCUUUCUUCUUUUUGUAUCUUUUUUUUUCUUGCUUUUUCCCCAUCUUUUUGGUGCAGGAAAGUCUUGAGCUCAGAUUAAAGGUGCAGCUUCAAUAGAUUUCAAUGUGGUGCCAUCAAAGGCUUAAGGGUCAAGGCACAUAUUAUCGUGUUUGAAAAUUUUCGAAGUUUUAACAAAUUCCUCAAAUGUACCCUUGACAUAUGCAGGGUGCAUCAUCAAUGUUAAUUUAUAUGCCUCCACAAAUUACACAUCAAUUCUUUCUCCUU